Molecule: long non-coding RNA, 798 nt
Filed under: Homo sapiens (human)
Lineage: Eukaryota; Metazoa; Chordata; Mammalia; Primates; Hominidae
Description: HSALNT0360374
Source: RNAcentral
CGGCCGCGCCAACUCCGGCGUCGGGAACACUCACCGCAGGACGCUUUGCCCUCCUUGGAAUCGCAGUAGCCGCAGUGGUAGCCGGCCCUGAGGCCCUUGUAUUCCACCACCGACGCCAUGGCCGCCGCGAGGGUCCGCUCGGGCCGACCACGCCUCUUGGCGCCCGGGGCCGACCUCGGCGAAGCGCUGGGGCCCGCGGCGGGAGGGGUGGAGAGCGAAGCCUGGCGCGGGGACCCGUGGGCGGGGAUGGUGGUCGUGUCCCCAAGCCCUGCGUUUGGGCCGGUGCUUCCCACAGCUGUGCGUUAUCAGCCCCAUUUCACAGCGGGACGUGGUGGCACGCGCCUGUAGUCCCAGCUACUCGGGAGGCUGAGGCAGGAGAAUGGCGUGAACCCGGGAGGCAGAGCUUGCAGUGAGCAGAGAUCGCGUCACUGCACUCCAGCCUGGGCGAAAGAGCGAGACUCCAUCUCAAAAAAAAAAAAAAAGAGUUCCAACAAGGUAAUAUGCCUUAUCUUUCCCUCUGCGUGCACAGAUAAUUUAAGCCUGUCUGUCCUCAUAGUUUUCCCAGUCAACAAUAAAGCUGAUGAUACAAUAUUGUUUUAAGUGUGUUUAAAAAAGUGAAAUGAAACUCAGAGAAAUAGAAAUAAAUUUUUGAGGUGAGUUUUGACAUUCUUGACCCCAAGGGCCUGUGUUAGAUAUGUACCUAGCUGAAGGAGGUUUCUUGGUGGCCUGGUGACUUGUUGAAGGGGGCCAGCCCCUCCACACCUGUGGGUGUUUCUCGUCAGGUGGGACGAGAGACUG